This 58-nucleotide transfer RNA is filed under the name Macroponema beveridgei. Its description in RNAcentral is "tRNA-Ala". The record is from RNAcentral. Lineage: Eukaryota; Metazoa; Nematoda; Chromadorea; Rhabditida; Strongylidae.
GGGACUUUAAUUUAAGUAUAAAAUAUAUGAUUUGCAUUCAUAAAAUUUUAAGUUCUAU